Molecule: ribosomal RNA, 414 nt
Filed under: uncultured microorganism
Description: bacterial SSU rRNA
Rfam family: Archaeal small subunit ribosomal RNA
Source: RNAcentral
CAGCCGCCGCGGUAAUACCGGCGGCCCGAGUGGCGGCCACUAUUAUUGGGCCUAAAGCGUCCGUAGCCGGGCUGGUAAGUCCUCCGGGAAAUCUGGUCGCUUAACGAUCAGACUUCCGGAGGAUACUGCUGGCCUAGGGACCGGGAGAGGCCGAGGGGAUUCCCGGGGUAGGGGUGAAAUCCUGUAAUCCCGGGAGGACCACCUGUGGCGAAGGCGCUCGGCUGGAACGGGUCCGACGGUGAGGGACGAAGGCCAGGGGAGCGAACCGGAUUAGAUACCCGGGUAGUCCUGGCUGUAAACGAUGCGGACUAGGUGUCGGGCAAGCUAAGGGCUUGUCCGGUGCCGCAGGGAAGCCGUUAAGUCCGCCGCCUGGGGAGUACGGCCGCAAGGCUGAAACUUAAAGGAAUUGGCGGG